This is a long non-coding RNA of Coregonus clupeaformis (lake whitefish), 663 nucleotides long. RefSeq lists it as uncharacterized. NCBI's taxonomy places the organism in Eukaryota, Metazoa, Chordata, Actinopteri, Salmoniformes, Salmonidae. The transcript has 3 exons. The record is from RefSeq and is a predicted model, not a curated record.
GCAAAGAGAACAGUCCAUGACGGGUAACUGGAGUCUUUGACCAUGUUGGGGCCUUCCUCUGACACCGCCUAGUAUAACUGGACACUUGCGCUCGGAUCACACUGGCCUAGGAUGUCCAUGCACCGGAUGGUCUGAAGGAUGCACUACUGUUGGACUGGAAAACAAAGAGACAUUUGGUCAGUGGCUCGAUCUGCUGUAGUCUCUACAACUGGUCGCUUGCGCUCGGAUCACACUGGUACAGGAUGUCAUCACACUGGCACAGGAUGUCCAUGCACCGGAUGGUCUGAGGGAUGCACUGUCUGAAUCUUCCUCUUCUGCCUAAUAUGUGAUACAACAGCGCGGGAAUGAGAGGGCCCUGAUAGACCACUACCGAUGCAGCCUACGGGAGGACGUUCGUCGGGAGCUGGCCUGCAGGGACACCACUCUUAACCUGGACCAGCUGAUAGACUUAUCUAUCCGGCUGUAUAACCUGUUGGCCACACGCGGACGUCCGGAUCAGGGUCCGUCCAGUCCAUCCCCCAGCACUUCCGAACCUACACCCAUGGAGCUUGGAGGUGCUGAUGUAAGGGGGACCGGUAAGGGGACUGUUUCCUGCACCAACUGUGGCCGCAGAGGACACACUGCUGGUCGGUGCUGGAAAGGGUCCUCAGGGAGUCAAGGCAG